This 497-nucleotide ribosomal RNA is filed under the name uncultured bacterium. RNAcentral describes it as "partial 16S ribosomal RNA". It matches the Rfam family "Bacterial small subunit ribosomal RNA", at positions 28 to 507 of the family's 1533-position model. The record is from RNAcentral.
GAUGAACGCUGGCGGCGUGCCUAAUACAUGCAAGUCGAGCGAACAGACGAGGAGCUUGCUCCUCUGACGUUAGCGGCGGACGGGUGAGUAACACGUGGAUAACCUACCUAUAAGACUGGGAUAACUUCGGGAAACCGGAGCUAAUACCGGAUAAUAUAUUGAACCGCAUGGUUCAAUAGUGAAAGACGGUUUUGCUGUCACUUAUAGAUGGAUCCGCGCCGCAUUAGCUAGUUGGUAAGGUAACGGCUUACCAAGGCGACGAUGCGUAGCCGACCUGAGAGGGUGAACGGCCACACUGGAACUGAGACACGGUCCAGACUCCUACGGGAGGCAGCAGUAGGGAAUCUUCCGCAAAGGGCGAAAGCCUGACGGAGCAACGCCGCGUGAGUGAUGAAGGUCUUCGGAUCGUAAAACUCUGUUAUUAGGGAAGAACAAAUGUGUAAGUAACUAUGCACGUCUUGACGGUACCUAAUCAGAAAGCCACGGCUAACUACGUG